Molecule: ribosomal RNA, 1495 nt
Filed under: uncultured bacterium
Lineage: Bacteria
Description: bacterial SSU rRNA
Rfam family: Bacterial small subunit ribosomal RNA
Source: RNAcentral
GCCUAACACAUGCAAGUCGAGCGGUAGCACAGAGAGCUUGCUCUCGGGUGACGAGCGGCGGACGGGUGAGUAAUGUCUGGGAAACUGCCUGAUGGAGGGGGAUAACUACUGGAAACGGUAGCUAAUACCGCAUAACGUCGCAAGACCAAAGUGGGGGACCUUCGGGCCUCAUGCCAUCAGAUGUGCCCAGAUGGGAUUAGCUAGUAGGUGGGGUAAUGGCUCACCUAGGCGACGAUCCCUAGCUGGUCUGAGAGGAUGACCAGCCACACUGGAACUGAGACACGGUCCAGACUCCUACGGGAGGCAGCAGUGGGGAAUAUUGCACAAUGGGCGCAAGCCUGAUGCAGCCAUGCCGCGUGUAUGAAGAAGGCCUUCGGGUUGUAAAGUACUUUCAGCGAGGAGGAAGGCGUUAAGGUUAAUAACCUUAGCGAUUGACGUUACUCGCAGAAGAAGCACCGGCUAACUCCGUGCCAGCAGCCGCGGUAAUACGGAGGGUGCAAGCGUUAAUCGGAAUUACUGGGCGUAAAGCGCACGCAGGCGGUCUGUCAAGUCGGAUGUGAAAUCCCCGGGCUCAACCUGGGAACUGCAUUCGAAACUGGCAGGCUAGAGUCUUGUAGAGGGGGGUAGAAUUCCAGGUGUAGCGGUGAAAUGCGUAGAGAUCUGGAGGAAUACCGGUGGCGAAGGCGGCCCCCUGGACAAAGACUGACGCUCAGGUGCGAAAGCGUGGGGAGCAAACAGGAUUAGAUACCCUGGUAGUCCACGCCGUAAACGAUGUCGACUUGGAGGUUGUGCCCUUGAGGCGUGGCUUCCGGAGCUAACGCGUUAAGUCGACCGCCUGGGGAGUACGGCCGCAAGGUUAAAACUCAAAUGAAUUGACGGGGGCCCGCACAAGCGGUGGAGCAUGUGGUUUAAUUCGAUGCAACGCGAAGAACCUUACCUACUCUUGACAUCCAGAGAACUUAGCAGAGAUGCUUUGGUGCCUUCGGGAACUCUGAGACAGGUGCUGCAUGGCUGUCGUCAGCUCGUGUUGUGAAAUGUUGGGUUAAGUCCCGCAACGAGCGCAACCCUUAUCCUUUGUUGCCAGCGGUUAGGCCGGGAACUCAAAGGAGACUGCCAGUGAUAAACUGGAGGAAGGUGGGGAUGACGUCAAGUCAUCAUGGCCCUUACGAGUAGGGCUACACACGUGCUACAAUGGCAUAUACAAAGAGAAGCGACCUCGCGAGAGCAAGCGGACCUCAUAAAGUAUGUCGUAGUCCGGAUUGGAGUCUGCAACUCGACUCCAUGAAGUCGGAAUCGCUAGUAAUCGUAGAUCAGAAUGCUACGGUGAAUACGUUCCCGGGCCUUGUACACACCGCCCGUCACACCAUGGGAGUGGGUUGCAAAAGAAGUAGGUAGCUUAACCUUCGGGAGGGCGCUUACCACUUUGUGAUUCAUGACUGGGGUGAAGUCGUAACAAGGUAACCGUAGGGGAACCUGCGGCUGGAUCACCUCCUUA